This 1194-nucleotide ribosomal RNA is filed under the name Triticum aestivum (bread wheat). RNAcentral's name for it is "partial small subunit ribosomal RNA". Lineage: Eukaryota; Viridiplantae; Streptophyta; Magnoliopsida; Poales; Poaceae. The record is from RNAcentral.
AUGACGUUUGGACUGACUUAGCUUGGUAGGCAUUCCAUCAACGACAUUCACCCUACCAUUCAUCGACUCAUUGUUGCAGAUAUGAUAGACAGAUGGGACCUUGAAGAUACACCAGAAACAGAAGAAAAAGUUCUCAAAAUUGCGAAAGAGAGAUAUAGAGGCUGGCGAUCAACUCUAAGCUCCACUUACAAGGCAUACAAAACAGAUGCAGCUAGAUUGGCUAAUCUGCCAGAAGAUUUACAACCAGAAGAGUGGGAAUGGAUGAUUGAGUACUUUGGCACUGAUUCAAAAUUUCAGGAACGCAGCCAAAAGAACGCUGAUAACCGUAAGAAACAGAAGACAAAACACAUAAUCAGAUCAAAAUCGUACUCGCAAGUUAGUUUUGAGAAGAGAAACUUGGAAACUGGAGAAGAGCCAGAUUAUAUUGCUCUAUGGGAACUCACCCACACAAACGAUGGAACAUGGUCUAACACAGAUUCCCAGAAAGUUUACGACCAAGCACUUCAAGAGGUUAAAAACAAAGAAGCUGAAACUUUAGGUCCACUUUCAAGUGAGCAGAAAAACAAUGUUUUCCAGACCGCUUACAAAGACACUCUGGAAUGCAAGUCAUCGCAGCCUCGUGGGUACGGAUACAUGGCCACAACUUCAACUGGUUCUGAAAAGUUCCGUAUCCAGAUUGAAGAGCAAGCUCAUGCUACAGCUUCCACCCAGGAGCGAAACUCUCAGCUCAGCCAGCAGGUCUAUGACUUAGAAGAUCAACUACAAGCUGAACGUGCUAACACACAAGAGAGGAUGAACUUGGAGCGUGCCGAGAGAGAACAACUUGAGGAGAGGUUAAAAGAAGAGCGUGCUGAAAGGGAAAGAUUGUUGCAAGAGGAGCGAACAUCAAGACUGGAAUUUGAAUAAAACAUGAUGGCAAAGUUUGUAGAAUUGAGCAAACAGAUGGAAACCUAACAGGUUCCUACGAAGAGGGUUGACAAAGAAAAUAGUAAUCCAAACUUGCAAAAUAUUUUUUCACAAACAUCUAGUCCUAAUAAGACUCCAGGUUCAAGGCCGACUGCUAUUUCUUCAAAUGCGCUCAUACAAGCUGCAGCAAGGCAAUCUCGAAUGUUUAAAGCAAUGGUAAGUCACAACCUUGCUUUCUCUUCAUGUUCACCUGCAUUUUAUACGUCAUUGGUCUUCAUAAUUAGCUAG